Molecule: ribosomal RNA, 499 nt
Filed under: Salmonella enterica
Lineage: Bacteria; Pseudomonadati; Pseudomonadota; Gammaproteobacteria; Enterobacterales; Enterobacteriaceae
Description: partial 23S ribosomal RNA
Rfam family: Bacterial large subunit ribosomal RNA
Source: RNAcentral
GUGUGUCGUGAGGCAUGCUGGAGGUAUCAGAAGUGCGAAUGCUGACAUAAGUAACGAUAAAGCGGGUGAAAAGCCCGCUCGCCGGAAGACCAAGGGUUCCUGUCCAACGUUAAUCGGGGCAGGGUGAGUCGACCCCUAAGGCGAGGCCGAAAGGCGUAGUCGAUGGGAAACGGGUUAAUAUUCCCGUACUUGGUGUUACUGCGAAGGGGGGACGGAGAAGGCUAUGUUGGCCGGGCGACGGUAGUCCCGGUUUAAGCGUGUAGGCUGGUUUUCCAGGCAAAUCCGGAAAAUCAAGGCUGAGGCGUGAUGACGAGGCACCACGGUGCUGAAGCAACAAAUGCCCUGCUUCCAGGAAAAGCCUCUAAGCAUCAGGUAACAUCAAAUCGUACCCCAAACCGACACAGGUGGUCAGGUAGAGAAUACCAAGGCGCUUGAGAGAACUCGGGUGAAGGAACUAGGCAAAAUGGUGCCGUAACUUCGGGAGAAGGCACGCUGACAC